CAAUAGCGUAUAUUAAAGUUGUUGCAGUUAAAAAGCUCGUAGUUGAAUUUCUAUAUGCAUAUUGAUCGGAGCAAUUCAUUAAUAUGUAUAUAUCCGACAUUGAACUAUAAUGGUUAUUUAGUUAAUCUUAUAGCGAACUGUCAUUUUACUUUGAAAAAUUAGAGUGUUUCAGGCAGGCAUUUGCCCGAAUAUCUUAGCAUGGAAUAAUGGAAUAGGACCCUGGUUCUAUUUUGUUGGUUUUGAGAACCAGAGUAAUGAUUAAUAGGGAUAGUUGGGGGCAUUCAUAUUUCAUUGUCAGAGGUGAAAUUCUUGGAUUUAUGAAAGAUGAACUUCUGCGAAAGCAUUUGCCAAGGAUGUUUUCAUUAAUCAAGAACGAAAGUUAGGGGAUCGAAGACGAUCAGAU
This 403-nucleotide ribosomal RNA is filed under the name uncultured eukaryote. RNAcentral's name for it is "bacterial SSU rRNA". It matches the Rfam family "Eukaryotic small subunit ribosomal RNA", at positions 592 to 1013 of the family's 1831-position model. The record is from RNAcentral.